CUUUAUGAUGAAUAAGAGUUUUACUCGAAAUAACCCAGCUCGUCGAAUGUCUCAAAUUUUUUUUCCAACGUAGAGGCAUCAUGAGAUUACGUCCCGUCUGAUUUA
Molecule: small nucleolar RNA, 105 nt
Filed under: Aspergillus luchuensis
Lineage: Eukaryota; Fungi; Ascomycota; Eurotiomycetes; Eurotiales; Aspergillaceae
Description: A. fumigatus snoRNA Afu_304
Rfam family: A. fumigatus snoRNA Afu_304
Source: Rfam by way of RNAcentral